CCACCACUUUCAUCUCUAUCUUUCUAGCUAGCUAUCGGGCCCAAUAUCUUAUCCUAUUUUACAGUGCAUGGUUGACAUGAUUCCCUCACUUCACUUCCUCUCCAUUCAUGUCUACACCAUCUUGAUUUCUUUAAUUAUUUCACAUGUGCUUCUAAAUACACCAACUUAGAUCCUAACGUAAUCCUUCAAAGCUAUUCAAACACAUAAAAUUUGCAUGCAUUAUGUGAUAUUCAUGAUGCAGGAAGCGAAGUCAAACGAACCAAUGGACAUCGAGUUAACUAUGUUACAUCAGAUACUUCGAAACACCUUGGAGGAUGCUGCGAACUUGAUCACAGAGGGAGUCAAGAUAAGACAGAUGAAGAUGAUGUCAGGGUGAUGACGUAGGAGCUAGCAAGUAGGGGUUCCCUACCACUUUAAUCUUGCAGAAUAGGUAUAAAUGGGACCGUGAAAAUAACACAAUGAUACCAUGUUAUUGCUUUUUUAAGACGAUAGAUGUAUGCAUAGCUAGUGUGGUGGCGUUAUGUCCAUGUAUAUAUGUUCAAUUUUUUUUUUAAUUUUUGAAUAAAUAUGUAGUGGCUGUCCA
Molecule: long non-coding RNA, 583 nt
Organism: Vigna angularis (adzuki bean)
Lineage: Eukaryota; Viridiplantae; Streptophyta; Magnoliopsida; Fabales; Fabaceae
Exons: 2
Source: RefSeq, a predicted model, not a curated record